RNAcentral lists this ribosomal RNA (253 nucleotides) under uncultured bacterium. RNAcentral's name for it is "partial 16S ribosomal RNA". It matches the Rfam family "Bacterial small subunit ribosomal RNA", at positions 524 to 776 of the family's 1533-position model. The record is from RNAcentral.
UACGGAGGGUGCAAGCGUUAUCCGGAUUCACUGGGGUUAAAGGGUGCGUAGGUGGGCAAGUAAGUCAGUGGUGAAAUCUCCGGGCUUAACCCGGAAACUGCCAUUGAUACUAUUUGUCUUGAAUACUGUGGAGGUCAGCGGAAUAUGUCAUGUAGCGGUGAAAUGCUUAGAUAUGACAUAGAACACCAAUUGCGAAGGCAGCUGGCUGCACAAAUAUUGACACUGAGGCGCGAAAGCGUGGGGAUCAAACAGG